GGCUGUCACUGGCUCGGCCAGCAUUUAUUGCUGCGUUUACCCAGAGGGCAGUUAAGAGUCAACCACGUUGCUAUAGGUCUGGAGUCCCAUGCAGACCAGACCAGAUCCCAGUGAUCAGUGCCAAAGCCCCAUUGCCUGUGGAGAGGGUGAUGUUUGAUUUCCCUGUCCAGCUGCAAUUCAUGUGGUGAAGGUGCUCCCACAAUGUGGUUGGGUGGACAUUCAGAUGGUAAUCUCAGUAAUUGUAACGCCAAACUGUGACAAAAUUACUCAAUUCAUCAGGAGCUGGAUAUUCACAUUGUGUGGAUCUGCACUGGAACCCUUCUGUUUGCAGGACAAAUAUAUAUUUGAUGAAGAUGUGUUGAAAAUGUUUGCAGUUACUGAUCUGCUGAACGAAAAUGACCACUUUUAAACUGAUGAUUGGACUAGAAACCUUUGAGAAAACUUGAAAAUA
Long non-coding RNA from Hemiscyllium ocellatum (epaulette shark), 451 nucleotides. RefSeq lists it as uncharacterized. The transcript has 5 exons. Lineage: Eukaryota; Metazoa; Chordata; Chondrichthyes; Orectolobiformes; Hemiscylliidae. The record is from RefSeq and is a predicted model, not a curated record.